CAAUAGGAGUCUGCUUCUAACUGUCUCUUGACUGAGACUAGCGACUUGUGCGCUAACUUUUGACUUGACCUCAAAUCAGGUAGGACUACCCGCUGAACUUAAGCAUAUCAAUAAGCGGAGGAAAAGAAACUAACAAGGAUUCCCCUAGUAACUGCGAGUGAAGCGGGAAAAGCUCAAAUUUAAAAUCUGGCGGUCUCCGGCCGUCCGAGUUGUAAUUUAGAGAAGCGUUAUCCGUGCUGGACCGUGUAUAAGUCUCCUGGAAUGGAGCGUCAUAGAGGGUGAGAAUCCCGUCUUUGACACGGACUACCAGUGCAUUGUGAUGCGCUCUCGACGAGUCGAGUUGUUUGGGAAUGCAGCUCAAAAUGGGUGGUAAAUGCCAUCUAAAGCUAAAUAUUGGCGAGAGACCGAUAGCGAACAAGUACCGUGAGGGAAAGAUGAAAAGAACUUUGGAAAGAGAGUUAAACAGUACGUGAAAUUGUCGAAAGGGAAACGGUUGCAGUCAGUCGCGUCCGCCGGGGAUCAACCUUGCUUUUGCUUGGCGUAUUUCCCGGUGGAUGGGUCAGCAUCAGUUUUGACCGCAGUUGAAAGGCUGGAGGAAUGUGGCACCUUCGGGUGUGUUAUAGCCUCCUGUCAUAUGCUGCGGUUGGGACUGAGGAACUCAGCACGCCGAAAGGCCGGGAUUCGUCCACGUUCGUGCUUAGGAUGCUGGCAUAAUGUCUGUAACCGACCCGUCUUGAAACACGGACCAAGGAGUCUAACAUGCACGCGAGUGUUUGGGUGGCAAACCCGAGCGCGUAAUGAAAGUGAAAGUUGAGACCUCUGUCGUGGAGGGCAUCGA
This 838-nucleotide ribosomal RNA is filed under the name Schizophyllum radiatum. Its description in RNAcentral is "eukaryotic LSU rRNA". It matches the Rfam family "Eukaryotic large subunit ribosomal RNA", at positions 1 to 761 of the family's 3401-position model. Lineage: Eukaryota; Fungi; Basidiomycota; Agaricomycetes; Agaricales; Schizophyllaceae. The record is from RNAcentral.